AUUGAACGCUGGCGGCAGGCCUAACACAUGCAAGUCGAGCGGAGCGGGGGACGGGUGAGUAAUGCAUAGGUAUCUGCCUGGUCGUGGGGGAGAACGACCGGAAACGGGCGCUAAUACAGCCUACUAUCAGAUGAACCUACGUCGGAUUGGCUGGGUGGUGGGGUAAAGGCCUACCCAAGCGACGAUCCGUAACUGGUCUGAGAGGAUGAUCAGUCACACGUGAACUGAGACACGGGCCCGGCUCCUACGGGAGGCAGCAGUGGGGAAUAUGGGACAAUGGGCGAAAGCCUGGUCCAGCCAUGCCGCGGGUGUUAAGAAGGUCUUCGGAUUGUAAAGCACUUUAAGGUGGGAGGCGUUACCAACAGAAUAAGCACCGGCUAACCUCGUUCCAGCAGCCGCGGUAAUUC
This 407-nucleotide ribosomal RNA is filed under the name uncultured bacterium. RNAcentral describes it as "partial 16S ribosomal RNA". It matches the Rfam family "Bacterial small subunit ribosomal RNA", at positions 30 to 526 of the family's 1533-position model. The record is from RNAcentral.